RNAcentral lists this small nuclear RNA (107 nucleotides) under Ursus americanus (American black bear). Lineage: Eukaryota; Metazoa; Chordata; Mammalia; Carnivora; Ursidae. The record is from RNAcentral.
GUGCUCACUUCAGCAGCACAUAUACUAAAAUUGGAACGAUAGAAAGAAGAUUAGCAUGGCCCCAGCACAAGGAUGACAUGCUAAUUUGUGAAGCAUUCCAUAUUUUA